AUUGAACGCUGGCGGCAUGCCUUACACAUGCAAGUCGAACGGCAGCAUGGGUGCUUGCACCUGAUGGCGAGUGGCGAACGGGUGAGUAAUGCAUCGGAACGUACCCGGAAGUGGGGGAUAACGUAGCGAAAGUUACGCUAAUACCGCAUAUUCUGUGAGCAGGAAAGCGGGGGAUCGCAAGACCUCGCGCUUCCGGAGCGGCCGAUGUCGGAUUAGCUAGUUGGCGGGGUAAAGGCCCACCAAGGCAACGAUCCGUAGCGGGUCUGAGAGGCUGAUCCUACAUACUGGGACUGAAACACGGCCCGGAGGCCUACGGGAGGGAGCAGUGUGGAAUUUUGGAGAAUGGGGGGAACCCUGGUCCAGCCAUGCCGCGUGAGUGAAGAGGGCCUUCGGGUUGUAAAGCUCUUUCGGCUGGGAAGAAAUCGCAUCUCCUAAUACGGGGUGUGGAUGACGGUACCAGCAUAAGAAGCACCGGCUAACUACGUGCCAGCAGCCGCGGUAA
This 502-nucleotide ribosomal RNA is filed under the name uncultured bacterium. RNAcentral describes it as "partial 16S ribosomal RNA". It matches the Rfam family "Bacterial small subunit ribosomal RNA", at positions 29 to 523 of the family's 1533-position model. The record is from RNAcentral.